This 253-nucleotide unclassified non-coding RNA is filed under the name uncultured bacterium. RNAcentral describes it as "contains 16S-23S intergenic spacer region". It matches the Rfam family "Bacterial small subunit ribosomal RNA", at positions 524 to 776 of the family's 1533-position model. The record is from RNAcentral.
UACAGAGGUGGCAAGCGUUGUUCGGAUUCAUUGGGCGUAAAGGGUCCGUAGGCGGAUUGGAAAGUCAGAUGUGAAAUCCCACAGCUCAACUGUGGAAUUGCAUUUGAAACUCCCAGUCUGGAGUAUGAGAGGGGUGAAGAGAAUUCCCGGUGUAAGGGUGAAAUCUGCAGAGAUCGGGAAGAAUACCUGUCGCGAAGGCGCUUCACUGGCUCAUUACUGACGCUGAGGGACGAAAGCUAGGGGAGCAAACGGG